This 497-nucleotide ribosomal RNA is filed under the name uncultured bacterium. RNAcentral describes it as "partial 16S ribosomal RNA". It matches the Rfam family "Bacterial small subunit ribosomal RNA", at positions 28 to 507 of the family's 1533-position model. The record is from RNAcentral.
GAUGAACGCUGGCGGCGUGCCUAAUACAUGCAAGUCGAGCGAACAGACGCGGAGCUUGCUCCUCUGACGUUAGCGGCGGACGGGUGAGUAACACGUGGAUAACCUACCUAUAAGACUGGUAUAACUUCGGGAAACCGGAGCUAAUACCGGAUAAUAUCUUGAACCGCAUGGUUCAAUAGUGAAAGACGGUUUUGCUGUCACUUAUAGAUGGAUCCGCGCCGCAUUAUCUAGUUGGUAAGGUAACGGCUUACCAAGGCAACGAUGCGUAGCCGACCUGAGAGGGUGAUCGGCCACACUGGAACUGAGACACGGUCCAGACUCCUACGGGAGGCAGCAGUAGGGAAUCUUCCGCAAUGGGCGAAAGCCUGACGGAGCAACGCCGCGUGAGUGAUGAAGGUCUUCGGAUCGUAAAACUCUGUUAUUAGGGAAGAACAAAUGUGUAAGUAACUAUGCACGUCUUGACGGUACCUAAUCAGAAAGCCACGGCUAACUACGUG